CCUCAUCUCGUUUCUCCUCCCUGAUCUGCCUCAGAGCUGCUUCAAUGUCCUGCAGCAGGAGUGAGACACAGGAGGACAUGCUGUUACCAGGUCACCGAUGGUCCUUCACUCACAGCUUAUGGGACAAACAUGGCCUGUGCCCGCCUCACCUCUGGAGAACGUGUCAGAAUGAGUGUGGACGAGCUGAUUUCUCGUCUGUGCUUACCUGUGCAGCCCUCAGCCUCAUCUGUCUCAUCUCCUGGUGAUACUGCUGUCGGAUGAGAUCCAGCUGAUGCAGGUGUGUGCUGGUGCUCAGGUCGUCCUGCUUCCUGCUCCUGAUGUCCCGGCCUCCUGCUGCGCUCAGCUGUACAUGGACGCAGACCCUGACAGUCAGAGGGAAAUGUUUUAUUCCACGACUCAUGAUGAUCAGAUGUAAUGAUGUAGUUUAACCAGUGUUUCCUCAGCAUUUAAUCCAGAGAGCUUAU
Long non-coding RNA from Toxotes jaculatrix (banded archerfish), 464 nucleotides. RefSeq lists it as uncharacterized. The transcript has 3 exons. The record is from RefSeq and is a predicted model, not a curated record. Lineage: Eukaryota; Metazoa; Chordata; Actinopteri; Toxotidae.